This 492-nucleotide ribosomal RNA is filed under the name uncultured bacterium. RNAcentral's name for it is "partial 16S ribosomal RNA". It matches the Rfam family "Bacterial small subunit ribosomal RNA", at positions 29 to 507 of the family's 1533-position model. The record is from RNAcentral.
AGUGGACGCUGGCGGUAGGCCUAACACAUGCAAGUCGAACGGCAGCACAGUAAGAGCUUGCUCUUACGGGUGGCGAGUGGCGGACGGGUGAGGAAUACAUCGGAAUCUACUUUUUCGUGGGGGAUAACGUAGGGAAACUUACGCUAAUACCGCAUACGACCUACGGGUGAAAGCAGGGGAUCUUCGGACCUUGCGCGAUUGAAUGAGCCGAUGUCGGAUUAGCUAGUUGGCGGGGUAAAGGCCCACCAAGGCGACGAUCCGUAGCUGGUCUGAGAGGAUGAUCAGCCACCCUGGAACGGAGACACGGUCCAGACUCCUACGGGAGGCAGCAGUGGGGAAUAUUGGACAAUGGGCGCAAGCCUGAUCCAGCCAGACCGCGUGGGUGAAGAAGGCCUUCGGGUUGUAAAGCCCUUUUGUUGGGAAAGAAAAGCAGCAGGUUAAUACCCCGCUGUUCUGACGGUACCCAAAGAAUAAGCACCGGCUAACUUCGUG